This 439-nucleotide ribosomal RNA is filed under the name uncultured bacterium. RNAcentral describes it as "bacterial SSU rRNA". It matches the Rfam family "Bacterial small subunit ribosomal RNA", at positions 335 to 797 of the family's 1533-position model. The record is from RNAcentral.
ACUCCUACGGGAGGCAGCAGCAGGGAAUCUUGCGCAAUGGGCGAAAGCCUGACGCAGCAACGCCGCGUGGGGAUGAAGGCCUUCGGGUUGUAAACCCUUCAGGUAGGGAAGGAAUGACGUACUCCAAAGAAGGACGGCCAACUACGUGCCAGCAGCCGCGGUAAUACGUAGGGUCCGAGCGUUAUCCGGAAUCAUUGGGCGUAAAGAGCUCGUAGGCGGUUCAGCAAGUCGGCUGUGAAAGUCCGAGGCUCAACCUCGGAAUUGCAGUCGAUACUGCUGUGACUCGAGUCCGGUAGAGGAGAAUGGAAUUCCCGGUGUAGCGGUGAAAUGCGCAGAUAUCGGGAGGAACACCAGUAGCGAAGGCGGUUCUCUGGGCCGGCACUGACGCUGAGGAGCGAAAGCGUGGGGAGCAAACAGGAUUAGAUACCCUGGUAGCGAG